This 253-nucleotide ribosomal RNA is filed under the name uncultured bacterium. RNAcentral's name for it is "partial 16S ribosomal RNA". It matches the Rfam family "Bacterial small subunit ribosomal RNA", at positions 524 to 776 of the family's 1533-position model. The record is from RNAcentral.
UACGUAGGGGGCAAGCGUUGUCCGGAAUCAUUGGGCGUAAAGAGCGUGUAGGCGGCUUGGUAAGUCCGCUGUGAAAGUCCAGGGCUCAACCCUGGAAAGCCGGUGGAAACUGCCAAGCUUGAGUCCGGAAGAGGCGAGUGGAGUUCCUGGUGUAGCGGUGAAAUGCGCAGAUAUCAGGAGGAACACCGGUGGCGAAGGCGGGUCUCUGGGCAGUAACUGACGCUGAGGAGCGAAAGCGUGGGGAGCGAACAGG